RNAcentral lists this ribosomal RNA (468 nucleotides) under uncultured bacterium. RNAcentral's name for it is "partial 16S ribosomal RNA". It matches the Rfam family "Bacterial small subunit ribosomal RNA", at positions 28 to 507 of the family's 1533-position model. The record is from RNAcentral.
GACGAACGCUGGCGGCGUGCUUAACACAUGCAAGUCGAACGGAAAGGACCUGCUUUUGUGGGGUGCUCGAGUGGCGAACGGGUGAGUAACACGUGAGUAACCUGCCCUUGACUUUGGGAUAACUUCAGGAAACUGGGGCUAAUACCGGAUAGGAGCUCCUGCUGCAUGGUGGGGGUUGGAAAGUUUCGGCGGUUGGGGAUGGACUCGCGGCUUAUCAGCUUGUUGGUGGGGUAGUGGCUUACCAAGGCUUUGACGGGUAGCCGGCCUGAGAGGGUGACCGGCCACACUGGGACUGAGAUACGGCCCAGACUCCUACGGGAGGCAGCAGUGGGGAAUAUUGCACAAUGGGCGGAAGCCUGAUGCAGCAACGCCGCGUGCGGGAUGACGGCCUUCGGGUUGUAAACCUCUUUCGCCUGUGACGAAGCGUGAGUGACGGUAAUUGGUAAAGAAGCACCGGCUAACUACGUG